Molecule: microRNA, 24 nt
Filed under: Eisenia fetida (common brandling worm)
Lineage: Eukaryota; Metazoa; Annelida; Clitellata; Crassiclitellata; Lumbricidae
Description: Efe-Mir-1997-P1_5p* (star (passenger))
Source: RNAcentral
AGGCUGAUGGUUUCUGCACAGGGU